This is a small nucleolar RNA of Sorex fumeus (smoky shrew), 103 nucleotides long. RefSeq annotates it as small nucleolar RNA U13. Lineage: Eukaryota; Metazoa; Chordata; Mammalia; Eulipotyphla; Soricidae. The record is from RefSeq and is a predicted model, not a curated record. The transcript has a single exon.
GUCUUUUCCGGUUCUUAAGCAUGAUGAUGAGGAGUUCACACGUUUGCGUGGCGUGUGCCUCCCUUAAAUCUUGCUAGGCGUUUGGCACAUCACCCACCUGAUG